RNAcentral lists this ribosomal RNA (372 nucleotides) under uncultured bacterium. Its description in RNAcentral is "bacterial SSU rRNA". It matches the Rfam family "Bacterial small subunit ribosomal RNA", at positions 28 to 417 of the family's 1533-position model. The record is from RNAcentral.
GAUGAACGCUGGCGGCGUGCCUAAUACAUGCAAGUCGAGCGAACCACUUCGGUGGUGAGCGGCGAACGGGUGAGUAACACGUAGGUGAUCUGCCCAUCAGACGGGGACAACGAUUGGAAACGAUCGCUAAUACCGGAUAGGACGAAAGUUUAAAGGUGCUUCUGGCACCGCUGAUGGAUGAGCCUGCGGCGCAUUAGCUAGUUGGUAGGGUAAAGGCCUACCAAGGCGACGAUGCGUAGCCGACCUGAGAGGGUGAACGGGCCACACUGGGACUGAGACACGGCCCAGACUCCUACGGGAGGCAGCAGUAGGGAAUCUUCGGCAAUGGGCGAAAGCCUGACCGAGCAACGGCCGCGUGAAUGAUGAAGGCCU